AUGGCCUACUUCGAUGAGAAAGCAAAGGAAGAUCCAUAUUUCUUCUACAGGAUAAGGUUGGAUGAUGAGGACCGUGUCAGGAACAUGUAUUGGGUGGAUGGUGCUGCAAGAAGAGCCUACAAACAUUUCCGUGACUGCAUAUCAUUCGAUGCGACAUAUCUCACUAAUAUGUACAAGAUGCCAUGCGCUCCAUUCAUAGGAAUAAAUAACCACAAUCAGUCAUUGCAGUUUGGAUGCAGGCUCGUUCGGAACAAAGACAUUGAUGGGUACACUUGGCUAUUCAAGACCUUCUUGGAGUGCAUGGAUGGACUUGCUCUGAUGAACAUAAUAACUGAUACGUCUACAAUGUAUAUAUAA
This 357-nucleotide ribosomal RNA is filed under the name Triticum aestivum (bread wheat). Its description in RNAcentral is "partial small subunit ribosomal RNA". The record is from RNAcentral. Lineage: Eukaryota; Viridiplantae; Streptophyta; Magnoliopsida; Poales; Poaceae.